CAGGUGAGACAAAAGGUUAUAGAAAGAGGCCAUGCUGACGAGGGGCAUGGAGUUUCCCAGAAGAGGAAUGUAUACCAGAGACUAAAGACAGAUAUUGGAAGUGGGAGUGCAGGUCAAGCAGGUGGCACAGUAGGAAGUAGAGCAAGUCUGGUUGAUGGAAGGAGAAGGGUCUUGCCUGGUGACUUGCAGCCAGCCUGCUUCAGGACUGUUUCCUUGUCUCAGAACUGUCCAGUGAGUUCCAGAACACGGCACUUACCUCCUGUGCCUCUUCUACAUCCUGGGAUGUUAUCCAUGGUAAAGAUAACAUUCCUUACAGAGGCCUUCUCUCCAAGCAUUCUGUCUGCAGUAGGGGACAUCACCCCACCACAAGUGGAGGACAACAUACAAAGGCAGAUAUAUUUCUUUCUCUGAUAUACCACUGUGCAUGGACUAAGCAGCAAAGCUUCUCCCAAGUAAGCAUCUCUUACACUCCUUUUGAGCAACACGUAGGCAAAAAGUGGUUUAAUUUCAUAGUUCCAUUGUCAUUUUAACAACCAUAAGGCCUAGAUGAGUUUCUGUUCGCAGCAUCAUGAUAACAUGUCAAUGUUAUCAACCCGUCUAAACUGAGUUUAACAGAAAAGAUACCUACCCUAGUGGUCUUGAUCAGAAGUUGUUUGCCACAGGUAGUUUGCUACGCACUUUCACACUGUUCUCAAGGUGAAUAGAUUUCAGUGAGUCUGUUGCUUUAUUUUCUCCAGUGACUUUAUUCAAUUUUAACGUUUCAGAGUCAAAUCCAUUAUCCAGACACCAGUCCUCUGUAUGGCAGAUUAUUUUAUAAAAUUUCUGUCUCUCUUUAGUUGGAGGGGAAAAACAAACACUGGAUUUUACACAGAAGACAAUCUUUCAGGAUUAUUAGUAGUAGGGUGGGUACCUGAGAAGGAGGGAUUUUAUCCUUAAUAGCUAAAUACAUGUUAUUGUACGUCAUCCCCAAGGUAACAUGAUUAAACUCCAGUGAGAUAUUCUUUUUGGAGCUUUGGAAGCAGUUGUAACUUUCCAGACUCUAUUUCCACAGUGUAUUGUUUAUUGUGAAUCUGCCAGAAUUUUAAACAGGCCUACCCUCACAUGCUGAUGCUAAAAUAUUCUGUAGCACCUACUUCACCAAGCAAUGCAUCAAAGGGUGUGGAAAACUGUUUAAAUUUGCCUGCACCAGGGACAGAAGGCAGAAUGAUGUAGGAGGAAGAGAAUUGCCAAUAGCAAAGACAGACUAAAAUAUCCACAUAUUAACUUACUGUGUUACUUCAUAACUGCUGGAAUGAUGCAGGAAAAGACGGUUGGAAAAUGAGAGCCAUUUCCAACUGUUAGACACAUCACUCAAGUGUUCAAGGUCCAGUACUAUAAGGCAACAAGAAAACACCAGGCCCUUCUCUGUGGU
RNAcentral lists this long non-coding RNA (1411 nucleotides) under Anas platyrhynchos platyrhynchos (common mallard). RNAcentral describes it as "lncRNA (ENSAPLG00000016515.1)". The record is from RNAcentral. Lineage: Eukaryota; Metazoa; Chordata; Aves; Anseriformes; Anatidae.